GAGGACCGAACCGACUAAUGUUGAAAAAUUAGCGGAUGACUUGUGGCUGGGGGUGAAAGGCCAAUCAAACCGGGAGAUAGCUGGUUCUCCCCGAAAGCUAUUUAGGUAGCGCCUCGUGAAUUCAUCUCCGGGGGUAGAGCACUGUUUCGGCAAGGGGGUCAUCCCGACUUACCAACCCGAUGCAAACUGCGAAUACCGGAGAAUGUUAUCACGGGAGACACACGGCGGGUGCUAACGUCCGUCGUGAAGAGGGAAACAACCCAGACCGCCAGCUAAGGUCCCAAAGUCAUGGUUAAGUGGGAAACGAUGUGGGAAGGCCCAGACAGCCAGGAUGUUGGCUUAGAAGCAGCCAUCAUUUAAAGAAAGCGUAAUAGCUCACUGGUCGAGUCGGCCUGCGCGGAAGAUGUAACGGGGCUAAACCAUGCACCGAAGCUGCGGCAGCGACGCUUAUGCGUUGUUGGGUAGGGGAGCGUUCUGUAAGCCUGCGAAGGUGUGCUGUGAGGCAUGCUGGAGGUAUCAGAAGUGCGAAUGCUGACAUAAGUAACGAUAAAGCGGGUGAAAAGCCCGCUCGCCGGAAGACCAAGGGUUCCUGUCCAACGUUAAUCGGGGCAGGGUGAGUCGACCCCUAAGGCGAGGCCGAAAGGCGUAGUCGAUGGGAAACAGGUUAAUAUUCCUGUACUUGGUGUUACUGCGAAGGGGGGACGGAGAAGGCUAUGUUGGCCGGGCGACGGUUGUCCCGGUUUAAGCGUGUAGGCUGGUUUUCCAGGCAAAUCCGGAAAAUCAAGGCUGAGGCGUGAUGACGAGGCACUACGGUGCUGAAGCAACAAAUGCCCUGCUUCCAGGAAAAGCCUCUAAGCAUCAGGUAACAUCAAAUCGUACCCCAAACCGACACAGGUGGUCAGGUAGAGAAUACCAAGGCGCUUGAGAGAACUCGGGUGAAGGAACUAGGCAAAAUGGUGCCGUAACUUCGGGAGAAGGCACGCUGAUAUGUAGGUGAAGUCCCUCGCGGAUGGAGCUGAAAUCAGUCGAAGAUACCAGCUGGCUGCAACUGUUUAUUAAAAACACAGCACUGUGCAAACACGAAAGUGGACGUAUACGGUGUGACGCCUGCCCGGUGCCGGAAGGUUAAUUGAUGGGGUUAGCGCAAGCGAAGCUCUUGAUCGAAGCCCCGGUAAACGGCGGCCGUAACUAUAACGGUCCUAAGGUAGCGAAAUUCCUUGUCGGGUAAGUUCCGACCUGCACGAAUGGCGUAAUGAUGGCCAGGCUGUCUCCACCC
Molecule: ribosomal RNA, 1276 nt
Filed under: Klebsiella variicola
Lineage: Bacteria; Pseudomonadati; Pseudomonadota; Gammaproteobacteria; Enterobacterales; Enterobacteriaceae
Description: partial 23S ribosomal RNA
Rfam family: Bacterial large subunit ribosomal RNA
Source: RNAcentral